RNAcentral lists this ribosomal RNA (254 nucleotides) under uncultured bacterium. RNAcentral describes it as "partial 16S ribosomal RNA". It matches the Rfam family "Bacterial small subunit ribosomal RNA", at positions 524 to 776 of the family's 1533-position model. The record is from RNAcentral.
UACGAAGGGGGCUAGCGUUGCUCGGAAUCACUGGGCGUAAAGCGCACGUAGGCGGAUCGUUAAGUCGGGGGUGAAAUCCUGGAGCUCAACUCCAGAACUGCCUUCGAUACUGGCGAUCUUGGAGUCCGGGAGAGGUGAGUGGAACUCCGAGUGUAGAGGUGAAAUUCGUAGAUAUUCGCAAGAACACCAGUGGCGAAGGCGGCUCACUGGCCCGAUACUGACGCUGAGGCACGAAAGCGUGGGGAGCAAACAGG